RNAcentral lists this ribosomal RNA (253 nucleotides) under uncultured bacterium. RNAcentral describes it as "partial 16S ribosomal RNA". It matches the Rfam family "Bacterial small subunit ribosomal RNA", at positions 524 to 776 of the family's 1533-position model. The record is from RNAcentral.
UACGUAGGUGACCAGCGUUGUCCGGAUUUCCUGGGCGUAAAGAGCGCGCAGGCGGUCGUUCAAGUCGAGUGUGAAAGCCCCCGGCUCAACUGGGGAGGGUCAUUCGAUACUGAUCGACUUGAAGGCAGGAGAGGGAAGCGGAAUUCCCGGUGUAGUGGUGAAAUGCGUAGAUAUCGGGAGGAACACCAGUGGCGAAGGCGGCUUCCUGGCCUGUUCUUGACGCUGAGGCGCGAAAGCUAGGGGAGCAAACGGG